ACAUGCUCAUACUCUCCACCUUGUGAAGGAGCCUGCUUCCCCUUCUGCCAUGAUCAUAAGUUUCCUGAGGCCUCCCCAGCCAUGCAGAGCUGUGAGUCAAUUAAACCUCCUUUGUUUAUAAAUUACCUAUUUUUUUUGAGACAGAGUCUUACUCUGUUCCCCAAGCUGAAGUGCAGUGACAGUGGUGCGAUCUCAGUUCACUGCAACCUCUGCCUCCUGGGUUCAAGCAAUUAUUGUGCCUCAGCCUCCCAAGUAGCUGGGAUUACAGGAGCACGCCACUAUGCCCAGCUAAUUUUUUGUAUUUUUAGUAGAGAUGGAGUUUUGCCAUGUUGGUCAGGCUGGUCUCAAACUCCUACCUCAAGUGAUCUGCCUGCCUCGGCCUCCCAAAGUGCUGGAACUACAGGUGUGAGCAACCUCACCCAGCCUCAGUUCCUUCCCACGCUCACACUCUCUCCUACUGCCUUGUGAAGAAGGUGACUGCUUCCCCUUCUGCCAUGAUUGUAACUUUGCUGAGGCCUCCCCAGCUAUGCAGAACUGUGAGUCAAUUAAACCUCCUUUGUUUAUAAAUUACCCCUCUCAGCUAUUUCUUUAUAGCUGUGUGAAAAUGGACUCAUACAGCAUGUACAGAGAAUACAAAAAAUGAAAUCAGGGUCAGACAUUUACCAUUUUUGACCUGGUACAUGGGUAAAGGAUUACUUCUAAACUUGCUUUUAGAUCUUAAAUCCUUUGUACUUCACAGGGGUGCAGGGAGAAUCCUGAGGUGGCUCUGAGACCUGCUCCCUGGUGUACCUGCUCUGCACUCCCUAGGCCUGGGGCUGGGAUGGAUUUUACCCUGUGCCUAGGUGAUGUCCAUGGCACAGCUGACUCCUUAAAGGGGGAACAUCUGGGUGAGCCUGGCCUAGCUAGGCUUGUGAAGGGCACUGGGCCUUCUUGGAGAAAGAUGUGAAGCGUGACAGGGAUUUGACACAGGGCCAUUAUCUGUUGCUGGGUUGGAGGAUGGAGGGGGCCACGUGGAAAGGAAUGUGGGUAGCAUCCUGGGGCUGAGAGCAUCCCCGGGCUGACAGCAGGUGAAAGAAAAGGGGCCUCCAUCCCACAAUCACUAGGUGCCUGAACUCUGGCAAUGACCUGAAGGGCCCUCACACAGAUUCUUCUCCAGUGCCUCCAGAAAACAACGCAGCUCUGCGACCCCUGAUCUCAGCCUCAUGGAAUACUGGGCAGAGAAUCCAGUCACAGCUUGCCUACACUUCUGCCCUACAAACUGGAAGCUGAUAAAUUUGUUUCAUUUUAAACUGUUAUGUUUGUGGUUAUCUAUUACACAGCAAUAUGGGCUUAUUCCAAACAGGCUGUAUGAAUUCAGGUCCCUGACCAAAUCUGGUUGACUGUAAAAAUGAAAAAGGACAACCUGAGUGCCUUACCUUACGUAAAUAUUUCCUAACUCCUGCCCUGUGUCUGUGGCAGACACCCUGCUCCGCUGAGUUUGGGUGCUAUUACUCCGGAAAAUCUAGUCAUCUGCAGAAACCAUUUCAGCUACCUUCUGUCCUGGGAUACACUGUAACAAACCAUUUCACCCAAGGCAUUGUUUCCUCUGGUUCAGCUCAGGGGAGUAUCAACAUCUUAGGGGUGUUAUCAAGAUUGUUAACAAAACAAACGCAGCAGCUCUUACCAUGGACAAUGGUGAAUGAGGUCCGUUAUCUGCCUUAGUCCCUGCCCAUCCCCACAUUCCCAGCACCACACUCUCAACUCCGGAGUCCAGCAAGCUGGUAUGCAUGGCAGACCUUAAAACCCAGUGAUGGAGUUUAUCAUCUCAAAUCAGGUACAGUGUCUAAUACUUAGAAUACUAUGGGCUUUCUUCUUAUAUUCUGAUCUACAUACAUGCAAGAAACACAAACUAAUGCUAACCAAAGCAACAUAGGAAAAGUAAAUAUUCCUAAUUAGCAUGUAAUCACAUGCAUAGUAUUUCCUCUGUGCAUUCUGCUCAUACUGUUGCCAGUACUGGGUGCCCUCUCUCCAUUUCCUGCUACCUCAUCCCACAUGUGUUUACGUGAAGACGGUCUGCCACAGUGGGAAGAGUUUCUUGUGCUCACAGGUUUUGGGCUAGGCCCAACUCAGGUCCUACACUCCUAGCGCCUCUUGGCACAGCCCUCUGGUCUACCUCUACGUUCAGCUGCAGCUAUGGAAGCCAGUUCUGUGUGCGCUCAUUGGGAUGCACAGAGGGUCCCACCUCACAGCCACGCCUGUGUGGCUGUUUUUCUGGUCAGAGUAUUCUCUGAAUCUCAGGGAACCUAGCCAGCACAGCCCAGUUUUGUGGAAUUAAGGCAGUUCUCAACCAACAUGUGACAGAGGUCAGUGUCUCAGGACCCUGGUCUAACAUCCUUUGGGUGGACGAUUCUAGGAGGCGUUCUCAACACUUCUCAGAGAUCCUGGUACGACGGCACAUCCUCACUGGCUUUAGCAGCUUCCUGCUUUUAGCUUCUUUUCCUCGCUGUCUCACUUUCCCUGUCCCUCGCUCCUGCUUCUUGGAAUCGCCUCCCAAAGGACCUGCAGCUAAAUCCUCUUCAGGAUUUAGUCUCAGACUCUUUUUCCACAUAACUGAUUUCACCAGAGUUGCAACUUCUCCUCCAUACAAGUGCGGUAAAAACACCUAUUUCGUAAGGUUGUUGGCAGGAUUAAAUGAGGUAGCAAAUACGAAUCACCAAGCAUACAAUGUUGGCCAAUAGCUGGCAGCUAAUAUUAAUACCAGCAUUAUUUAAACAACAGCCUCUUGAAGAGGGAGCAACACCAAAUAUUACCAAGAACCAGGACUCACUAUGCACUGAAAAUCACCUGCUCUGGGCCCCACUCAGAUGCUUAAGAAUUAGUUACCUUUCAGUACUCUUAAUAAAUCUGCAAGGAAUUUAGAGUGUACUCGUAAGAAAAAAAAAUGAACUGAAGAGGAUGUCUUUUCAUUUGUUUCACUUCAGUUGUCAACAUAUCUGUUCAAAUGAUUCAUGGCUGCCAAGUGCAUUAGAAUAAGUCAACCCUAAAAUACAUUAAGUAUGCUUCAACUGCUUCAAAGUUCAGCUAAUCUUCUUUUGAAAAAUAAUUCCAGAAUAGGCAGCUCAAAACCAAAGAUCAAUGCAGAAAUCAUCAAAGGGGUUUUAAUUAAAGAAUAUCUUGUUUUAACAGAAUUAAGAUUUUCUGUAGAUAUAUAACAUAAAAAACAUUUUUCUCAAGACUACUUCUGCUUUAAAAGUUUGAUUCUCUCGUGUUGCUGAAUUAUUGGCCCU
Molecule: long non-coding RNA, 3266 nt
Filed under: Homo sapiens (human)
Lineage: Eukaryota; Metazoa; Chordata; Mammalia; Primates; Hominidae
Description: HSALNT0332768
Source: RNAcentral